This 510-nucleotide ribosomal RNA is filed under the name uncultured bacterium. RNAcentral describes it as "partial 16S ribosomal RNA". It matches the Rfam family "Bacterial small subunit ribosomal RNA", at positions 28 to 507 of the family's 1533-position model. The record is from RNAcentral.
GACGAACGCUGGCGGCGUGCCUAACACAUGCAAGUCGAACGAAGAGCGACGGCAGCUUGCUUCUAUCAAUCUUAGUGGCGAACGGGUGAGUAACGCGUAAUCAACCUUCCCCUUUGGGGGGGCCAACAGUUGGAAACGCCUGCUAAUACCGCAUACGACCUCUCCACGGCAUCGAGGAUAGAUGUACGGCGGCCUCUACAUGUCACCCAUCACUGCAGCAGGGGGGUGCGUCAGAUGAGCUAGUUGGAGGGGUAACGUCGCAGCCAGGCGAGGAUGAGUAGCCGGACGGAGAGGAUGGGCGGCCACAUUGGGACUGAGACACGCCACAGUCGGCUACGGGGGGCAGCAGUGGGGAUACUUGCGCAAGGGACGAAGGACUGACGGAGCAACGCCGCGUGAGUGAGGACGGCCGUCGGGUUGUAGAGCUCGGUUAUUCGGGACGAAAGGCCUUUUUGCGAAGAGGGAGAAGGAUUGACGGUAACGGAAUAGAAAGCCACGGCUAACUACGUG